AGAGGCCCUGCGGGGGGAAGAAGGUGAGGGAUGUUUUAACUGGAUAGCAGUACUGUCUGGGUUUAGAGACUCCACAGAAGACCCGAGUGACGGACGAGAGUCGAGUUGGACCUUCCGGUCGGGAAUCACGCUUUUUUGAAGGCAAUUGGUUGGAGUCGAAAUCGCAGACGCAAGAUAAGCAAGACUCCACAGAAGACCCGAGUGACGGACGAGAGUCGAGUUGGACCUUCCGGUCGGGAAUCACGCUUUUUUGAAGGCAAUUGGUUGGAGUCGAAAUCGCAGACGCAAGAUAAGCAAGACUCCACAGAAGACCCGAGUGACGGACGAGAGUCGAGUUGGACCUUCCGGUCGGGAAUCACGCUUUUUUGAAGGCAAUUGGUUGGAGUCGAAAUCGCAGACGCAAGAUAAGCAUGCGUGCUGCAACCAAACAAUUUCUGAUGCUCGUGGUGAUUAUUGAACCAAGCUUAGUGGAGAAAGAAGCACCGAA
Long non-coding RNA from Hypanus sabinus (Atlantic stingray), 487 nucleotides. RefSeq lists it as uncharacterized. Lineage: Eukaryota; Metazoa; Chordata; Chondrichthyes; Myliobatiformes; Dasyatidae. The transcript is spliced from 4 exons. The record is from RefSeq and is a predicted model, not a curated record.